CGAUUAUGGUAUAGGAAAUUUUUAAGCAUACUUUUAAAUCUCUCCCAAUCUUAGUAGAGAUUCUCUCCAUUUUUUUGUGUGCAACUCAAAAUCUCGCUUCUUAAUCG
Molecule: small nucleolar RNA, 107 nt
Organism: Capsicum annuum
Lineage: Eukaryota; Viridiplantae; Streptophyta; Magnoliopsida; Solanales; Solanaceae
Source: RefSeq, a predicted model, not a curated record